AGUCAGUUCGCCCCGCCCCAGGGCUUCCGCGCGCCAAGGGCAGGGGCCUGCUUCUAUCCCAGCGCUGGGUGCUGCUCCACAGGGCCCCAGAGCAGAGCCCGAGGCAUAUUAAUUGUCAUCAGCCGAGUCAGAUGCCCCCAGCAGAAGGUUGAUUUUUCUCUUUUGGUGGUUCGGGUUCUGUGGUUUCCACAUCAGAGUGUUGCUCUUGCAAGACUUCUGAAAGCAGGUUGCACAAGCAUUGUCCCUCGCAGGUACUGGAAGGCACUUCACACUCUUAAAUAUUGGGUCCAGUGCUGUGUCCGGCUUUAGAAAUCUCACAUUGGUGCCUUCUUUGCAUUUUGCCAAGUCUGCAGUGUAAGGGGACAUCUACACUACCCGCCGGAUUGAGCAUCAUCAGCAUGGAAGCAUGCCCUCCGGAAUGGUGGCUGAAGCAUGAAGGGGCAGAAGAAUGUUUAGUAUAUCUGGCACGUAAAUACCUUGAAAUGCCAGCUACAGAAGAGCCAUGGCAGCACCUGUUCUCUCUUUCAGGUAACAUUGUAAAUAAGAAGUGGGCAGCAUUAUGUCCUGUAAAUGUAAACAAACGUGUUUGUCUUAGCUUUUGACUGACCAAGAAGUAGGACUGAGUGGACUUGUAGGCUCUAAAGUUUUACAAUGUUUUGUUUUUGAGUGCAGUUAUGUAACAAAAAAAAUCUACAUUUGUAUGUUGCAUUUCAUGAUAAAGAGAAUAACAGUAUUUGUAUGAGGUGACUUGAAAAAUACAAUUUAUUUAUUUUUACAGUGCAAAAAUUUGUAUUAAAAAUAAUUAUAUAAAGUGA
Gopherus flavomarginatus (Mexican gopher tortoise) is the source of this 815-nucleotide long non-coding RNA. RefSeq lists it as uncharacterized. The transcript is spliced from 2 exons. The record is from RefSeq and is a predicted model, not a curated record. Lineage: Eukaryota; Metazoa; Chordata; Testudines; Testudinidae.